This 468-nucleotide ribosomal RNA is filed under the name uncultured bacterium. Its description in RNAcentral is "partial 16S ribosomal RNA". It matches the Rfam family "Bacterial small subunit ribosomal RNA", at positions 28 to 507 of the family's 1533-position model. The record is from RNAcentral.
GACGAACGCUGGCGGCGUGCUUAACACAUGCAAGUCGAACGGAAAGGCCCUGCUUUUGUGGGGUGCUCGAGUGGCGAACGGGUGAGUAACACGUGAGUAGCCUGCCCUUGACUUUGGGAUAACUUCAGGAAACUGGGGCUAAUACCGGAUAGGAGCUCCUGCUGCAUGGUGGGGGUUGGAUAGUUUCGGCGGUUGGGGAUGGACUCGCGGCUUAUCAGCUUGUUGGUGGGGUAGUGGCUUACCAAGGCUUUGACGGGUAGCCGGCCUGAGAGGGUGACCGGCCACAAUGGGACUGAGAUACGGCGCAGACGCCUACGGGAGGCAGCAGUGGGGAAUAUUGCACAAUGGGCGGAAGCCUGAUGCAGAAACGCCGCGUGCGGGAUGACGGCCUUCGGGUUGUAAACCGCUUUCGCCUGUGACGAAGCGUGAGUGACGGUAAUGGGUAAAGAAGCACCGGCUAACUACGUG